Molecule: ribosomal RNA, 444 nt
Filed under: uncultured bacterium
Lineage: Bacteria
Description: bacterial SSU rRNA
Rfam family: Bacterial small subunit ribosomal RNA
Source: RNAcentral
GUGAGGAAUAUUGGUCAAUGGCCGCAAGGCUGAACCAGCCAUGCCGCGUGAAGGUCAGUGCCCUAUGGGCGUUAAACUUCUUUUGUCAGGGAGCAAUAAGGGUUUCGUGAAAUCCGAUGAGAGUACCUGACGAAUAAGCAUCGGCUAACUCCGUGCCAGCAGCCGCGGUAAUACGGGGGAUGCGAGCGUUAUCCGGAUUUAUUGGGUUUAAAGGGUGCGUAGGCGGUCUGUUAAGUCAGCGGUGAAAGACCGGCGCUCAACGCCGGGGCUGCCGUUGAUACUGGCGGACUUGAAUUCGGAUGCCGUUGGGGGAAUGUGUGGUGUAGCGGUGAAAUGCAUAGAUAUCACACAGAACACCGAUUGCGAAGGCACCUGACGAAUCCGACAUUGACGCUGAGGCACGAAAGCGUGGGGAUCAAACAGGAUUAGAUACCCGAGUAGUCC